GAUGAACGCUAGCUACAGGCUUAACACAUGCAAGUCGCGGGGCAGCAUGGGGGUUGCUUGCAAUCCCCGAUGGCGACCGGCGCACGGGUGAGUAACGCGUAUCCAACCUGCCCUUCACCACGGGAUAACCCGGCGAAAGUCGGACUAAUACCGUAUGUUGUCCAUUGACGGCAUCCGAUUUGGACGAAAGGCUUGGCGGUGAGGGAUGGGGAUGCGUCCGAUUAGCCAGACGGCGGGGUAACGGCCCACCGUGGCUACGAUCGGUAGGGGUUCUGAGAGGAAGGUCCCCCACACUGGAACUGAGACACGGUCCAGACUCCUACGGGAGGCAGCAGUGAGGAAUAUUGGUCAAUGGGCGUAAGCCUGAACCAGCCAAGUAGCGUGCAGGAUGACGGCCCUAUGGGUGUAAACUGCUUUUAUGCGGGGAUAAAGUGGCCCACGUGUGGGCUUUUGCAGGUACCGCAUGAAUAAGGACCGGCUAAUUCCGUG
This 489-nucleotide ribosomal RNA is filed under the name uncultured bacterium. Its description in RNAcentral is "partial 16S ribosomal RNA". It matches the Rfam family "Bacterial small subunit ribosomal RNA", at positions 28 to 507 of the family's 1533-position model. The record is from RNAcentral.